This 259-nucleotide ribosomal RNA is filed under the name uncultured bacterium. RNAcentral describes it as "partial 16S ribosomal RNA". It matches the Rfam family "Bacterial small subunit ribosomal RNA", at positions 74 to 334 of the family's 1533-position model. The record is from RNAcentral.
CUUGCAAACUAAAGAUGGCGACCGGCGCACGGGUGAGUAACACGUAUCCAACCUGCCGAUAACUCGGGGAUAGCCUUUCGAAAGAAAGAUUAAUAUCCGAUGGUAUAUUAAAACCGCAUGGUUUUACUAUUAAAGAAUUUCGGUUAUCGAUGGGGAUGCGUUCCAUUAGUCUGUUGGCGGGGUAACGGCCCACCAAGACUACGAUGGAUAGGGGUUCUGAGAGGAAGGUCCCCCACAUUGGAACUGAGACACGGUCCAA